CAAGGCUUGUGAUUUCCUAAUCUUUUCUCCACAGGGUUACAAGAGCAAAAACUCUUAUUCCCACAGCAAUUUCAGCCUGACUCUUACCAGAGAAAAGAGACAAGGGAUUGAACCUUUGAAGGCAGAGUAAGGACCUGACCUGUGGUUUAUGUCUUCUUGGAGUGCAUUGUGACAAUCUGUUGUAUACAGAAAAAGCAUUUCUGUCCCUGUUCCUUCAAGAUAGCUGUACUUACUGAGAGAGAUAUGAAUAUAUUGCAGGUAGUGUUGAAUCAUAUCCUGCAGGAAAAAUUGAAAAGGUGAGUGAUUUUAUCAUUUCCCAUUGCCAGGUUAAGGAGCAGAAUUGGAGGUAUUGACAUAAGAAGGGGUGAGGAGAUGACCAGUGGGAAGGAGGAGUUGAAAGAUUUCUGUAAUCAAGCUCUUUGUUCUCAUUCCCAUUCUGCAGAGAAACAUCUUUUGGAUGAACUUUUCUGUGAAACAAACUGCACAGGAAGAUUGUGA
This 498-nucleotide long non-coding RNA is filed under the name Cyanistes caeruleus (blue tit). RNAcentral describes it as "lncRNA (ENSCCEG00000008297.1)". The record is from RNAcentral. Lineage: Eukaryota; Metazoa; Chordata; Aves; Passeriformes; Paridae.